GCCUCCCGCCCUCACAGCCCCCACCUGGCCCCAUGCCCACCUACCCACAGCUCUCACCCAGCCUCUGUUAUAGGAUGCCACACUCUAAGGGCUGGGCCAUCCCCUAGCCCGGCCGCUUAUGUUAGAAUUGAGUAAACUGAGGUCCAGAGAAGAAACAGCUUGCCUAGAGUCACAGAGCAAAUUGUUCCACACUUACCUUACUACACAGUACUGCCUUCCCCAUGUGUCAUCAUGCCAGCCCCUGACGCGAGCCAGGGACCCUGCUUCACACGGCCCGCCGUGCUCUCUUCAUACCCUCCUCAGCCUUGUCUCCAUGCUGUGCCCAGCCCUCGCACAUACCCACUCCUGCCCUCCUCUUGCGCCCUCGCCCUCCCUACUCCCCUUUGCUGUGCAGCAGCACCCGUGGUUCGGGGGGACAGUGGGGAGUGUCGGACCCGUUCGGAGGGCCCUUGGGGGUGAGUUGGGCUUGGAGCACUGUAGGGAGCCAGGGGUCCCAGGGUGAGCACAUCCCUGAAAUGUGGAGAGAGCUGAGCCCCCAGGACUGGGGACAUAACGCAGGGCCCUCUUAGGCGUGGGGAUGACAGGCCCAUCCAGGCCGCUGUCCUCUCCGCUCCCUCUGUGAUGGCUGAGAGCCAGGGACCUCUCCUCAGCUCCUCACUUUGCCAUCGUCCCUCCCAGUCUCUCACGAGGUAUAGUCCCUUCGCCUGGCAGAGGCCAGCUCUGGGAACGUCCUGAGAUGACCCUCGGCGCUUGCAGUCAUGGUCUGCCAGGCCUCCUCACCCGCCUCACCUCCCUGGUGCCGCUCGUUCCUGUGGGUGCCACCUUUCUUGGUCUCUGUCCUUCAGUCCCCAUCCCUGGCCUGCUCCUCCUCCUCCAGGGUCCAGCUCUGCCUCGCUUCUCUGUGCUAACCCAUGUCUCGAUGCUUUUCUCUUUGGGAUUCCUCCCGACAUCCUGCAGGCUUCGGGGUGCUCCUGAUGCCUGUGAACGCCUCUCCCCUGGUUGCCCUGGGUCUCUGCUGCCCAAGAACCCGAGGGACCCGGCCUCUGGCUAGCCGAUGGCCUUCCUAUCCCAGGCCUGGCCUUGGGGGAACUGAAAGCGGCAGUGCUGCCUGCAGUGUUAGAGGCAGCUCCGUAUCCCGAAGGGCCCUAGCCAGGCGAGUGAGCUCAGGGGGCCGCCUGCGCUCCUCCCGCUACCCUCCGAGCUGCGCCCCUGUCUCAGGCACCUCUCGGACCUCGCUGUGUUUCACUGCCUCCUGCCCACAGACCCAGCCGGCCCGCCGGCCCGGACCUGUCCCAGCCUCCCCUCCCUUCCCCAGCCCAUGCAGCACCCCGGGGUAGCCCACGGGCCCCUAAGAACCUUCCCUCCCCAAGUGGACAUGUGGCUAGGAGGCCCCCAGAUGGACCGAGUGCCGAAGGGGUGGCCAUGAAGGGUGUCAAGCCCGUGGGGAGCACCAAGCGAGUGCAUGUGCUAUGCUGCUGCAGGCCACUGUCUGUCUCUCCGUUUGUCUGUCUGUGUGUCUGUGACAGUCAGGGAAGGAUGCCUGUGAUCUGGGGUGAGGUGAGGCCACAGGAGAGGAGAAGGCAUGGCACCCACAGGGUGGAGGAGCCCAGCGGGCAGGGGCUGUGGCCAGGGGACUCACUGGGAGGGAGCAGGGCACUGACCAUUCCAGAAAGGAGUUUUGAAUGGCACAACACUUUCUAUUCCACAAGCGACCAAAAGUCAGAGGCCUAGGGCUGAGCCCUGGCCCUGGUGGGUUUAGGGCCCAGAAGGGACUCCCUCAUUCAAGGUCAGGGCGGGGGCUACUCUGUCUGGGAAUGAGGGAGUUAGCCAGGCUUGGCGCAGGAGUGGGGCCAUAGUGGGGGAGGAGGUAUUCAGAAACACUAUUUCUAAGCUCAAAUAAAGUCCAGUUUGUACCCA
This is a long non-coding RNA of Chinchilla lanigera (long-tailed chinchilla), 1917 nucleotides long. RefSeq lists it as uncharacterized. The transcript is spliced from 2 exons. Lineage: Eukaryota; Metazoa; Chordata; Mammalia; Rodentia; Chinchillidae. The record is from RefSeq and is a predicted model, not a curated record.